GAGCGCAUUGGACAUAGAUAUUUGAUUUAUUAGGUACGGAACUUCUUCCUGAGAUGUGAGACUUAUUGGGAUUUUUGAAGACAUUACACAUUUAGAUCUACACGGACAGAACACUUUGGAGAGAACACAUUUGGACAAAUUUUUUUCUGGAGAUACGCUACUGUUCAUCUUCUUUUUCUUGAUGAAGAAGACAAACCAAACACCUCUAACCCGCCGACCUCCCUGAUUGACAAUCCACAGCACACCACCGUCGACCAACCCCGUCCCUCACCCCUCACACCAGUUCCCGUUGUUUCCUAGCAGCCCAGAAGCCCGUGUCGACCAGCAGUAGCAGUACGCCCUCACCACCAACAACCCGUCAUUUCCGUCACCAAAUGACCAUCUCCGUUCACCCUCCAACCUCACGUCGAGCUAGCAGUAGCAGCCACUGCUUCACAUGUCGGUUGACCACUCGUCCUACAUUGCUGGUGCUGCAUCCUCCAGCAACCCGUCGACCAGUAUUUCAGCAGCGACCAGCGUUCUAGCACCCUACCAGCGAGACCACCACUCUACUCCAAAUCACAGCCAACUUUAAGGGCCUGAAAAAUCUAGUUUUUGGUCGUAAAAAAUGGAGUCCAGUUGAGCUAACCGGUGAACUUUUCAAUUAUUCGAGGUGUCCUAUUUGCGACUCUUGUUCAGUAGCAUUUCUGGUUCAGUGGAGGUUGCCGUACGUUGGUUUCGGUCUACGGUUGUCGUUGUCCAUUUUUCCGGCGAGGUUUCGGUGCUGCUGCAUUGUUGUUCGGUUUCACCUUCUAUUUGGCUUCUCCUUAUUUCUUUGCUUUCUUAAGAGAUGAGAUUAAAAGAUUUGAAGCUUGAGACGAAUUCGCAAGGCAAAUACUUGUUGGAAUUUGGAAUUAGCUGCAAAAUGAGGUAAGUGUUUGAUCUAUCCUAGCUUGAGGGAAUAGAAGUUAAGUAUAUUUGCUAAUUGUUAUAUGUGGAGUCCGACGUAUAGGCAUGGUGACAAAUAUCUAUACGUUGGGGUUCGAGCAAGACCGUGCAUCUUAAAUCGAUAAUUUUGCACUCUUUGUGAUUCUAUGAAAGAAUAAAUUGAUUUAGCUCAAAUGAAGUGACAAGACUAUCUUGUUUAGUUAAUCAAUUUCAUAUAAUGUGUUAGUUGAGAAAGAAAUGAGUUAAAAGAGAGUGUAUUGAAGUUAUUCCCUUGCCGGGAUAUUUUGAGAUGUUAGUUGUACCCUUGCUGGGACUUAUCUGCUGUUUUGUUCUCCCUUGCAGGGAUGUUUAAUACUGUAUGUUUAUUUUCCUCACCCUAAUUGGUUAUGACUGUUGACUUGGGGAGGAAGGGUGAUUAUGCACGAAAUGUCAUUCCGUGCCACGUUUUGAUAUUUAUGCAUGAAUGGUCAUUCCGUUCCAUGUUUUGAAUAAUUAUGCACGAAGGGUCAUUCCAUGCCUUGAUAUGAGAGUAUGUGACGAAAAGUACGAAGGUUGAUGUCGUGCACUUUAUUUGACUAUUUUGUUGAGAACGGGAGUAAAAGCACGAAGGUCGGUGUCGUGCAGUUAUUGAUUUACCUAUUCUCCUUAAUUGAUGUGCCUCUAUAUGUAGAGUUGUUUUGUGUUUUUCCUUAUUCUUGUUAGGGGCUUGGUUUUGAUUCCUUAUAAUGGUGAUGUCGUGCACUUUCUACUUUUUGUUUAUUUGUUGUUAGCAAUUCAAGUGUUUAAAAUAUUCGAAUUCCUUAAUGUUUUGACCCUUCGUGUUAGAACCUAUAUAUAUAUAUAUAUAUAUAUACUAAAAUGAAGCCACAUGGCAAUUUUAGGACAACAUUAAUAUUAAAAAUUAUCAAUGGAGACACAAUUAAUGAAAGUUAUUUAUAAAUCUUAUACAUAAUCUAAAUAGGUCUUAGACAAAUCUAAUCUCUCUCUCUCUCUCUCUCUCUCUCUCUCUCUCUCUCUAUAUAUAUAUAGAGAGAGAGAGAGAGAGAGAGAGAGAGAGAGAGAGAGAGAGAGAGAGAGUUCAAUACUUCAAGCUUCAAUAAUUGUACCUUAAUUGAAAAAUGUAUUUUCUUUAUCAAAUGAUUACUAAAUAUAAUUUCAUAUUUUCUUGUUGAUUUUCUAAUUGGGUUGGAAGUUGUACUCUACUUUGUGUUAAGUAAAUGAGGCUUGUUGAACAUUCUUAAUUGUAUUGGGUUAUGGACCAUGUGAACUGAGUAACAUGAGAAUAUUGUUGUGCAGUGUGAAAUAGAAAUAUGUUGGCACCAGGUGUCAGGGAAAAUAUUAUAGUUUUAUUUAAUUGCAUGGGAGGUGUCCGUCCGAUUGUAAUAUAAAUAUGGGUACAACAUGCAGUAAAAAUAUGAAAGUGGGUCGGGACCUAUAUUACUAUGAUUUUGAAAUGUGGCGUCACAAGGUGACCUUUACCCGAAAGAAUGAUAUUCGAAAGAUACUUUUGAAGAAAAUAUAUUCGAAAUAUAUUUAUUGAAAAGCAUAUUAUCCUAGAGAUUAUUACUUGAAGAAUUUAAAGGCGAAAGAUUUAUAUUUGAAGGACUUGAUUAAUUGAUUGCACUUGCAUUUAUUAUUUGUUGAGAAGCAAUUUUUGUGUUCAUGCGCCUGCUAUUUAUAUCAUUGGUUGAUCAUCGUUGCCAUUAUUAUUAUUUUCUUCCUAUUAUUUUAUACGUUAUAAACUGUAGAGGUUUAUGUGAGUGUCUGGUCCUAGCCUUGUCACUACUUUGCCAGGAUAGGCUAGACACUUACCAGCAGAUGGGGUCGGUUGUGCUGAUACUACACUUCUGUAUAUUUUUGUAUACAGAUCCAUGCAUUUGAUCGAUGGUAGCUAUUCGUUGCGGUGGAGACUCAAGAUAAACCUGCUAUAGAGUUCGCAGUCCUCAAAGUCACCUUCAAUUGUACUUAUUUCUAUUUGUUCCCUUUGUUUCGGAACAGUGAUGUAAUUAUAUUGUAUAACUACUCUUAGAAAAGCUUGUGGCUUGUACUACUAGUUUUGGGAAUUGUAAAUUAUUUAGAGAAAAUUUAUUUGAAGUUAAUAAAUAUCGAUGUUAUUUCA
RNAcentral lists this long non-coding RNA (3046 nucleotides) under Nicotiana benthamiana. RNAcentral describes it as "long non-coding RNA (NBEN_LNC021926)". The record is from RNAcentral. Lineage: Eukaryota; Viridiplantae; Streptophyta; Magnoliopsida; Solanales; Solanaceae.